UACCCGCUGAACUUAAGCAUAUCAAUAAGCGGAGGAAA
Molecule: ribosomal RNA, 38 nt
Filed under: Aspergillus flavus
Lineage: Eukaryota; Fungi; Ascomycota; Eurotiomycetes; Eurotiales; Aspergillaceae
Description: partial 28S ribosomal RNA
Source: RNAcentral